Long non-coding RNA from Heterocephalus glaber (naked mole-rat), 468 nucleotides. RefSeq lists it as uncharacterized. The record is from RefSeq and is a predicted model, not a curated record. NCBI's taxonomy places the organism in Eukaryota, Metazoa, Chordata, Mammalia, Rodentia, Bathyergidae.
GUUAGCAGCGCCGAGCUCGCCCUGCGGGCCGCAGGCCUAGGCGAGGAGCUGCCCGACAUAGCUGCUGGCGGGGUGGGGGGUGGGGGGCAGGCUGAAGGAUCAGCCUGCGGCGCCAAGCAGCUUGCGCUCCGCCCAGCUACUGGUCAGUGGAUCUCGCCGCGGAAUGCUCCAGCCCGUGUCGCCACCACACCCCGAAGCCAGCCUGCCCGCUGUCCACUCACCGGACUCUGGCCCGUGCUGGAUGGUGGAGGUCGCCAAGUAUGGAGUAUGAAGAUGGAACCCAAACCCUUGUGCUUGUUGUGCAUGCUAGGCAAGUACUCUACUACUGAAUGACAUCCCAGCUUUAAGGCUCUAGCUCAAGGAGAGUCACAGAGCUGAGGGCUUCAAUAUAUGAAUGCGGUGGGAACAUAAUGUUACCCAAAACACCAUCUCCAAACGCAUUUAUUAUAAACCAGUUACAAGAUGGUU